CAGUAGCCGCGGUAAUACGUAGGGUGCAAGCGUUAAUCGGAAUUACUGGGCGUAAAGCGUGCGCAGGCGGUUUGUUAAGACAGAUGUGAAAUCCCCGGGCCCAACCUGGGAACUGCAUUUGUGACUGGCAAGCUAGAGUGUGGCAGAGGGGGGUGGAAUUCCGCGUGUAGCAGUGAAAUGCGUAGAUAUGCGGAGGAACACCGAUGGCGAAGGCAGCCCCCUGGGCCAACACUGGCGCUCAUGCACGAAAGCGCGGGGAGCAAACAGGAUUAGAUACCCGCGUAGUCCCUGUCUCUUAUAA
RNAcentral lists this ribosomal RNA (301 nucleotides) under uncultured bacterium. RNAcentral's name for it is "partial 16S ribosomal RNA". It matches the Rfam family "Bacterial small subunit ribosomal RNA", at positions 509 to 809 of the family's 1533-position model. The record is from RNAcentral.